RNAcentral lists this ribosomal RNA (81 nucleotides) under Pseudomonas aeruginosa. The record is from RNAcentral. RNAcentral also lists the same sequence under 1 other name. Lineage: Bacteria; Pseudomonadati; Pseudomonadota; Gammaproteobacteria; Pseudomonadales; Pseudomonadaceae.
CUUGACGAUCAUAGAGCGUUGGAACCACCUGAUCCCUUCCCGAACUCAGAAGUGAAACGACGCAUCGCCGAUGGUAGUGUG